RNAcentral lists this ribosomal RNA (253 nucleotides) under uncultured bacterium. RNAcentral describes it as "partial 16S ribosomal RNA". It matches the Rfam family "Bacterial small subunit ribosomal RNA", at positions 524 to 776 of the family's 1533-position model. The record is from RNAcentral.
UACGUAGGGGGCAAGCGUUAUCCGGAUUCACUGGGUGUAAAGGGGGCGCAGACGGCGAUGCAAGCCAGGAGUGAAAGCCCGGGGCCCAACCCCGGGACUGCUCUUGGAACUGCGUGGCUGGAGUGCAGGAGGGGCAGGCGGAAUUCCUGGUGUAGCGGUGAAAUGCGUAGAUAUCAGGAGGAACACCGGUGGCGAAGGCGGCCUGCUGGACUGCAACUGACGUUGAGGCCCGAAAGCGUGGGGAGCAAACAGG